This is a long non-coding RNA of Sarcophilus harrisii (Tasmanian devil), 1557 nucleotides long. RefSeq lists it as uncharacterized. The record is from RefSeq and is a predicted model, not a curated record. The transcript is spliced from 3 exons. Lineage: Eukaryota; Metazoa; Chordata; Mammalia; Dasyuromorphia; Dasyuridae.
CCAAGUGCCCCCAAAGCAGUCUUUUGCUGAAAAGAGACUACUGUAUCCAAAUUCAUAGCUUUUCUUAGCAGGACCCAGAACUAGGACUUCAAUUUGUGUACAAACUGUGCUCCAUGUUUUAUGCUUUUUCUUUCUCAAAGGUUCUUUUGUCCUGGUGCUCUCUCAUUUAUGUAUGUUUGCUUCUAUGUCCUACUAACUAGCCACAGGCUUCCCUGUAGCAAUACCUGUCAAUUCACUCAGCACACUAAAUACCCAGGAGUUAUCAGGAGCAUCCUUUCUUUCCUUUCCCAACAAAUUCACCUCAACUUACUAAAAAUAUUUUUAAGCAUCUCUUCUGUGCAAGACAAUGCAUGUGAGCUAAGUGCUGGGAAAGGAAAGACAAAAGCAAAUAGUCCCUAUCCUCAAGGUGCUUCCAUUCUACUUAAAAGCUAGAAUAGGUACAUGAGGAUUGAAAGACUUUGGGUAGAAUAUGUGAAGAAUAGUAGAGAGGCUAUGAUGAGCUUUAAAUGACAAACCAAGGAGUUGAUCCUAGAUCUUGGAGGUAAUAGUGCGUCCUUAUAGGUUCUUUGGAGGGACAUCAUCAGGCAUGUACUUUAUUUAGGAAAGUCAUUUUGGUGACUAGGUGAUGGACUGGGUCAAGGGUAGUAUUGAGUAUGGAGUAGUAUUGAGGAUGGAGGAAGAUAAAUCCACAAUGUAGUAAAAAAAAAAAAAAAAAAAAAAAAAAAAAAAGUGUCUUUGUGCAGAUAAAUAGUAGAAAACUAUUGUUGUCAUACUUCUUUCAUAUAGCAUAAAUUUAGAAUUUGAUCCACAUAAAUCUUUCUUUCCCUGACAGAUUCUUACCUUCAGUCCUGGCUGUGCUUUAUAUAGAAGCUUUAAUGGCACUUAAGAAGAUGAAAGCAAAAGAAUGACUGGACCAGACCACAAACACAAAGAAAAAAUUUGUAUCGAAGGCAAUACAAUCUAAAAAGCAUUGGGAAAUUAUUUUUCAAGGGGAAGUCUUCACAUGCUUGGGGUAGACAUCCAUCUGAUUCACCAAUGGGUUUGAGGCUCAUCGGUUACCCCCAACAUAGUAGUUCAUCUGCCAAGACAGAUUUACUGGAGCGUGUCUGCUGCACAUGCUACAGCUUCUUAGAGUCACAGGAAUAAAAUAAGAAGACAUAUGGUCUCCAAAUGACUUUGUUACUGCAGUGAGAGAUAUACAGCACAGAGUUUAUAUUGAAGUUUCUCUAUGGAUGGUGAAACUUCUCAGUUACUACUUGGAGAAGUCAUUGUGCUGCUGAUUUCAUCAAGUAUUUACAACAUUGCAGAGCCUCCUUACUGAGAUGUACAAAAGAAAUUUGGCUUAAUGAUCGAUGCAGGAAAACCUAAGUGGAUGAAGAAUACCUACUGCCAAUAUUAUGGUAUGUAAUUAGAUAGAUAACCUGUGGAGAUGGCAAAUUCAAAUCACUUCAACAAAUAGUUAUUAGAUCCUUAGAUUGUAGGCUAGGCGCUGAGGAUACAAAGGCCAAAAAAAAACCAAAAGCAAAAACAAAAACAUUCCUAACAUCAAUAAAUUUA